Molecule: ribosomal RNA, 425 nt
Filed under: uncultured bacterium
Lineage: Bacteria
Description: partial 16S ribosomal RNA
Rfam family: Bacterial small subunit ribosomal RNA
Source: RNAcentral
GUGGGGAAUCUUGCGCAAUGGGCGAAAGCCUGACGCAGCCAUGCCGCGUGAAUGAUGAAGGUCUUAGGAUUGUAAAAUUCUUUCACCGGGGACGAUAAUGACGGUACCCGGAGAAGAAGCCCCGGCUAACUUCGUGCCAGCAGCCGCGGUAAUACGAAGGGGGCUAGCGUUGCUCGGAAUUACUGGGCGUAAAGGGCGCGUAGGCGGACAGUUUAGUCAGAGGUGAAAGCCCAGGGCUCAACCUUGGAAUUGCCUUUGAUACUGGCUGUCUUGAGUACGAGAGAGGUGAGUGGAACUCCGAGUGUAGAGGUGAAAUUCGUAGAUAUUCGGAAGAACACCAGUGGCGAAGGCGACUCACUGGCCCGUUACUGACGCUGAGGCGCGAAAGCGUGGGGAGCAAACAGGAUUAGAUAUCCCGGUAGUCC